RNAcentral lists this ribosomal RNA (205 nucleotides) under Pythium aphanidermatum. RNAcentral's name for it is "partial 18S ribosomal RNA". Lineage: Eukaryota; Oomycota; Peronosporomycetes; Pythiales; Pythiaceae. The record is from RNAcentral.
GAUUAAAACCCAUAAACUUUCGUUUUGAGUAUAGAUCAGUAUUAGUAAAUGGUUGAAAAAUACAUCGCAGACUACAAUUAAGCAGGCCACCCUUCGUUCAGCCCUCCCGAAAGAGAGCACAGAAACAUGAUUUCAAACGUUCACCGAAAAGUUUUUAUGUGGGAAGGAACCAUCCCCUCCUAGAGAGGUACUGCGGAAGGAUCAU